RNAcentral lists this long non-coding RNA (4252 nucleotides) under Homo sapiens (human). Its description in RNAcentral is "non-protein coding LIFR-AS1:10". Lineage: Eukaryota; Metazoa; Chordata; Mammalia; Primates; Hominidae. The record is from RNAcentral.
GGGUGCUCCAAGGAGUCGGAGGAACGCGGCCGCGCGACGGGCCCCGGACGCCGAGGGUGGUGCUUCCUCCGAGCCUCCGGUGGUGAGGCCGCUCUCAGAAGGUCAUGGAAGCGCAGGGGAGAGCGAGGCGGCCGAGCCCAGGCAAAUCCUCGAGAAAGGCCGAGUGCGCGACGGCUCUGCGGGGAGGACCGCGCCUCCCCGAAUGCGGCCGCUGCUGCCGCUGCAAACAGUGCCUUGAGGAGAGGAAAGCGGGGAACCGUGUUUUCGCCGCCUCUGUAACCACUGCACACAAGAAAACCAGCUUCUGGGAGAGGGGGAUGAUUGUUGGGACUUUGCGAAUUACCUAAACAGCCCAGGGCCGAGGCGCCGCCGCUCGCGUCCUGGUCCUCCUGCCGGGUGUGGGGCUCCCCUGCCCGAGAUGGCCAGCGGGCGCGCCGAGAGUAUCCUGGAGCCAUCUAGUCUUGCCUCGGAGGCGGGGUGGGCUUAUUUGUGCGGAGAAGAAACGGAUCUCUUAAUGGGGUGAGAUUUUUCCUCCGUACAUUGUUCCCAUUUCCGCAGUUUCACUUGGCCUCGGUUUUCUAGCAGAGUAAUCACCAAAUGAAAUUAGCUGGAGAGCGUUUGAUGGCGCAGAAUCACGGUCUGAAGAUGUUUACGCUGUAUGCCGGACGCGUUUGAUGGUGUUCUCUUCGGCACAAUUAAUUUUGCAAAGUUCAGAAAUGUGCCAGACAGAGCCCCUGGCACGCAGUCAGGACUCUACAGACACACCUUGAGUAGGAAACAGGCUUGUUUGUUUCAUCUGUGAUUUAUGUGAUGCACCAGCACCAAGGCCAACGUGUUUUUUAAAGACCUUUCGAUGAAACUCCAAAGCAAUUUAUAAAUUGGCAAAAUGAAGCUUGUUUUGUAAAAUAACUCUUCCUUGUUGAUCAUGUAAUUAAAUGGGCAACAAAACACCUGAAAGGACAUUUACUGAAAAGUAGACUCCCAAAACAAAAAUAUGUAUUUCACAGCUAGAUACGGUCGCUAUUAGCGUCCUAAUGGCCAACUCCAUCCAUGUGCGUAUUUUGAACACUAAAAACGCCUCCUGUUACCCCUAAGACCUUGUUUGGAUAACAUUUUUCUAUUAUAAGUACUCGAAACCAACCCCAUUUAAGAUGUUUACCCUUAUUCUUGAGUCCUUGAUGGUUUGGGAAAUUUAUCAUUAUUCAUAUUGCACAAUCCUGUCACUGUCUUUUCCAUUAGGCACAGUGCCUAAGGUCCACAAUAUUUUUAGAGGCCCACAAAAAAUAUUUUAAUUUCUUUUCAAAUCAGAAGGAAAAAAAAUUUAGGUUUAAGAAAGUAUUUUAAUAUAUAUUAAUAUAUUUGUUUUUGUGCUAAUACAAUCUUAAAAUGUAUGUAUAUAUGUGUGUGUGUAUAUGUAUAUAUAUUUUAAUGGAGUAAGGGGCUCAACGAAGGCAAAAAGGCCUAGAGCCCAAGAAAAACAUGAUGUGGCCCUGUUGCCUGGGGUUGAAAAAUCCCAUUCCAUGAGAAGAAUUUAGUUUUAAGAAUAUUACAUAAAAUGCUCAUUUCUGUGGCCUUGCUAUAAUAGAAAGAUGGAGAUUCAGAGUAGUGAUAAUGGCUAACAUCCACCUGAUACACACCAUGUGUCCAUUACCUCUUAAUCCUCACAGCACACCUGUGAAAUAGGUACUAUUCUCACACUUAGGGGGUAAUGCAGGUUUUGUGGGGCCUGCAAUUUAUGCAAUUUGGGUGGUCCUCUUAAAGAAAAAGCAAAUACUGUGUAUUAGUCCGUUCUCACACUGCUAUAAAGAACUGCGCGAGACUGGGUAAUUUAUAAAGGAAAGAGGUUUAAUUGACUCACAGUUCCACAUGGCUGGGGAGACCUCAGGAAACUUAACAAUCGUGGUGGAAGGAGAAGCAAGUACCUUCUUCACAAGGAAGCGGAAAGAAUUGUGAGCGGAGGAACUUGCCAAACACAAAACCGUCAGAUCGCGUGAGAAUUCAGUUACUAUCACGAGAACAACACGGGAAAACUGUCCCCAUAAUCAAGUCAUUUCUCUCCCUAACAAGUGAGGAUUACAAUUCAAGAUGAGGUUUGGGUAGGAACACAAAGCCUGACCCUAUCCCACAGCAUGUCCAGGCUGCCCUAGCACCACCCAAUAGAAGGGAAAAUGGCAGAGGGAAAGUCCUAGUGGAAAGAGACCUCAGUCUCAGCUAAUUGUGGUGACAAUAUAUUGCUUUUGCAAAUUGUACAUAAACAUAUGACCAGGUGAAUGUAUCGCCAAGGCUCCUGCCAAGGCCUGGGAUGGAGGCCUAGAGAAGAUGCCCGAAAGUUUAUGCUGUGUGAGCUUCACAGAAGACCUGCCUUCCAUGUAUACCCAUUUUACAGACGGAGUUUCGCUCUUGUUGCCCAGGCUGGAGUACAAUGGCGCAGUCUCGGCUCACUGCAGCCCCCACCUCCCGGGUUCAAGUGAUUCUCCUGCCUCAGCCUCCCAAGUAGCUGGGACUUCAGGCAUGCACUGCCAUGCCUGGCUAAUUUUGUAUUUUUAGUAGAGACAGGGUUUCUCCAUGUUAGGCUGGUCUCGAACUCCAGACCUCAGGUGAUCCCCCACACCUCGGCAUCCCAAAGUGCUGGGAUUACAGGCGUGAGCCACUGCUCCCAGCCCCAUUGUUGAUUUUUAAAACUUAGUGUUCAACAAAUAUUUAUUGAGUACUUAAUACAUAUGCAUGCUAAGGAAACAACAGUGAGUGAGACAAAGCCCUUUGUCUUAUGAAGACUCUGAUGAAGCUUACGUAUUAAGACUCUCAAAACAUGGUCAGAAUGUCCUUGAUUAGCCUGAGUUGCCAAAAAAGAAAAGAAAAAAAGAAACUAUUUUAAAAUUAAUUUUUAUUGCUUUCUGUCUUUCAUUUUUUCUUCCUAUCAUAGCACUAGAUGAAGUUUUAGAUAUAAGCUUAAAAGCCUGAGUAUUUGAUUUCUCAAUGACCGAAGGUUAAUUACAGCUCAUAAAAAUAUUAGAAUUAACAUAUAAUAUUCAGCCUAAAAGAUAUAGGAAAUAUAUUGUUCCUUUGAUUUUAAAUCCCUUUCAGUGGCUCAAAGUUAAAAUAAAGUUUGCAGACGUAUCAGUUGGUUUAAAAUCAAUAUUUUCUUCAUUUUAGGCAUUUUCUAUUUGCCAUUCAAGGGAGAGGAAAACAUUAAGAAUCUUUUUUCCCCCAGCCACUAACACAGCAAUAGAUCUACAUAUAAAUUGUUAGUUCCCUUCUUUUGUAUUAAUAUCUCUAUACUCUUGUUCACUAUUUUCCAAAGGCAUUGAGAAGUUAAUCAGAAGUUUAUGAAAAAGGAGACUUUCUAAUCACAGAAGGUUGGAUAACACUGAGUUAAACAGCUUUAUAAGUCACAGGCCUUUUUAGAACCCUUAGUUCAUUGUGGAUCCUCAAUUAUAACAUAAUGUAAUGUAAUAAUAUAAUAUAUGGGAGGACGCUUCCCAACAGUCAUCCCUUUUCCUGGUAACAAUAUCUUGAUUGUCCUUUAGGGAACCUAUUCCUCAUUCUUAGUCCCUGAGUUCUGGUGAAUCUGUCCCCCAUUCCUGGCUUUAGAAAUGUUCAUAUGACAAGUGAUUCAUUGGUAAGUGUUAAAAACCAAUUCUAAAAAAAAAGAAGAAAAUCCUUGAUUUGUAGCAUUUGACAUUUUCCAUGGUGUAAAUACUUUUACCAUGGCCAACUUUAAGCUACCAAGGUGAAAUCACUAAACAUGGAGUUGGGAAGAGAGGCACAUCAUCAGCUCCUGGGAACCUGCAGCGCACAGUGUCAGAGAUGACCCAGUCUAAGUGAAUCAGACCAUUUAUCCCUCUGGGCCUAGGACUCAAGCCAGACCAGCUCCUUAGGUCCAAUUCCUUUGAUUUUUUUAAAGAACUGUUGUGGAAGAGGCACCAUCUUUCACUGCGUUCGUUGAAAGGAAGGAAUUGGAACCAAUUCUGGUGAUCUACUUUCCAUGUGGUCUGUUUGGAAAGAGCCUGGCUGAGAAUGCAGACCCUCAGAGAAGUGACUAGCAGAGCUGAGAGAUGGAGACAGACCAAAUUCUGGGAUCACUGUUGGAGUCCUUGGAUCUUGUCCAGCCUGAACCUCUGGACAUUGCUGUUACAUGAGCCAAUAAAUCCCCUUCGUUUCUCUGUCUCUCAUUCUGUUUCUCUUCAUCUCCCUCUUAUCCAUUAUUUGUUUAUUAAUUUUUCUUUUAUUAAAGCUGUUUGGUUUUUAUUUC